UUAUAUAGGGUGUAUUGUUGCACGAUGCUUUUUGGAGGCAUAGGCUUAUUUAUAUCGG
Molecule: transfer RNA, 58 nt
Filed under: Oribatula sp. XFX
Lineage: Eukaryota; Metazoa; Arthropoda; Arachnida; Sarcoptiformes; Oribatulidae
Description: tRNA-Gln
Source: RNAcentral